Molecule: long non-coding RNA, 338 nt
Filed under: Physcomitrium patens
Lineage: Eukaryota; Viridiplantae; Streptophyta; Bryopsida; Funariales; Funariaceae
Description: long non-coding RNA (PPAT_LNC007738)
Source: RNAcentral
AAUUGUCCUAUUAUGUAUAAUAGUAGCAUGGUUGAUAAUUUGAAGAAUGAGCUAAUUGGUGAUAAGUAUUUUCACAUUAUCUUUUUUAUGCCUCUCUAAGCCAUCCACAUUAUAUCGUAGAAUUGUUUCCAUAGUCCAUUGUUUAUAUUGUGGCUAAAUAGAUUUAUCUAAUACUUAAAUUUGGUCUUUAUAUAAUUUAUAUUCUAUGCAAUAUUAAGAUGUCUAUUGUACCUUCUAAAUUAUAGAUGUAGUUUCUAAUCUUAUUUAUAUAUUAAUGGUUAUUGAAACUUUGGAUGUUAAAUGUAAUAAAAUUUAUUAUCAUAUAAAAUAAAAGAGGU